Pollicipes pollicipes is the source of this 1065-nucleotide long non-coding RNA. RefSeq lists it as uncharacterized. NCBI's taxonomy places the organism in Eukaryota, Metazoa, Arthropoda, Thecostraca, Pollicipedomorpha, Pollicipedidae. The transcript has 3 exons. The record is from RefSeq and is a predicted model, not a curated record.
GUGGGUGGCCAGCAAGGUGGCCAGCCAGUGAAUGGUACCCUCAUCAUGACCCGAAGCUGCUGAGGAAGUGGAUUACUGCAACAAAACGUCAGGGAGAAAAGCAAAGGACACGGAAGCCCUCUCGAGAGUGCACUUCUAGGCAGUUACCACUUCAUGGAGGCUGAUUCUGAGCCAUACGGUGAACGCAGAAUGCUGCGUGAGGGAAGGAUCCCAUCAUGGUUUAGGUUCCCGGAGCAGACAAAACCAGUGGCACGCAAAAGUCCCCAAAAGCGCGUUAGCCCAUGCACAACUCCACCCUAGCCAAAGCAUCCCAGGCACCUGCUUCUCGGGCAGCCGCACCAGCCCGUUCCAGAGGAGGCUGCGGCUGUAAGGUGUGUCGACGUGUAAGUCCUGUGCAUUAACGUUGUCAAUAGUACGGUAUAUAUACUCUGAAUAACAUGAUAUACUAUGCGCAUAUCUCGGUGCCUACACAGCUCGCAGGAGUGCCGAGCCGACGGUGCUGGACAUAGGUUAUAUUUUUGUAACGUACCAAAUCGAAACAUAAGCUCUGGUCUUAUCCGAGUGUGGAUGUGGACAGAUCUGUUCUCUCACGCAGGUGAACAGCACGCAUGUAGUGCAUACAAAGGGAUAACCAUGGCCUGAACUCCAGCAACACACCGGGGCAGUUACUUCGCGCAUAAACAACGACGCAAAAUGAAAUCAGAAGAUGCAACAGCUUGAGACCUGCUGACUCCAUCAUGAGCCAUAUAUUGAUAUCUGCAAGACCACAAAUCCUGCAUCCACCAGACUUGGAACAGGCUGUGCUGUGACCUAGCUAUACAAUAGAUCAUGCAUGUGAAUGUGGGAAAUAAAGUGCGGGAAUGAUAAAUGGAAUCGUCUUUGAAUGCCAGGAAGUGAAAAACUAGAAGAGAAAUCGCACCGGUCUGCCAGUUAGCGAAGAUCUCACUUUGUACGCCUUACUCAGCCCUUCUCAAAAUUGAAAACCAAUUCACCCCCUCAACGAUGAACCGCACCGAUGGCCAAUGGUGCAGCGUACCGCGACAAACAACCGUAAACACAAUACAU